Molecule: non-coding RNA, 30 nt
Filed under: Rattus norvegicus (Norway rat)
Lineage: Eukaryota; Metazoa; Chordata; Mammalia; Rodentia; Muridae
Source: RNAcentral
UGACCCGAAGAGGUGUCUUGAUGAUGUAGU